CAGCCGUAAACUAUGCGCGUUAGGUGUACUGGUGACCACGAGUCACCGGGGUGCCGAAGGGAAACCGUGAAACGUGCCGCCUGGGAAGUACGGUCGCAAGGCUGAAACUUAAGGAUUGGCGGGGGAGCACCACAACGGGUGGAGCCUGCGGUUUAAUUGGACUCAACGCCGGAAAUCUCACCGGAUAGGACAGACAUAUGAUAGUCGGGCUGAAGACUCUACUUGAUGAUCUGAGAGGUGGUGCAUGGCGUCAGUGACU
This 259-nucleotide ribosomal RNA is filed under the name uncultured archaeon. Its description in RNAcentral is "partial 16S ribosomal RNA". It matches the Rfam family "Archaeal small subunit ribosomal RNA", at positions 748 to 1008 of the family's 1478-position model. The record is from RNAcentral.